Molecule: RNA transcript, 2857 nt
Organism: Sapajus apella (tufted capuchin)
Lineage: Eukaryota; Metazoa; Chordata; Mammalia; Primates; Cebidae
Gene name: leucine-rich repeat-containing protein 37A2-like
Exons: 4
Source: RefSeq, a predicted model, not a curated record
GAGCCACCGUGCCCGGCUGUUCUGUGUUUUUAUCUAUAGGAUCUUACCUAGCCUUAUGGCCUGCUGCCUCUGCCAAUUUAAAAAUAGCUUUGAGGUUGUCUGCAAGACAGUCAAGCUGCAUUGCAACAGUGCAUGUCUGACAAACACCACACAUUGUCUUGGAGAAGCAUCUAUAGGGAAUCCCUGAGGAGCGUUCAUGAAGGUGUUACAAGCCCAGAAGAAGCACAUGAGCACUGAGCUGACUAUUGAGCCGGAGAUGCCUUCAGACGGCAAUGGCAUCAACUUGUUAGGCUUUGGGAGUGAGCAGCUGGACAUCAGUGAUGAAAGUGAUGUUAUCAGUGCACUAAAUUAUAUCUUGCCUUAUUUCUCAGACGGAAAUGUAGAAGAUGUGGAAUCAAUGUUGUUACCGUUCAUUAAACUGCUUUUUUCAGAUUCACAAGAUGGUGACAGGCCCCGGGGUAUUUUGAAAAACAAUACAAAGAGCCCCUCUCUUCAACCUGCAUCCAACAACUCAUCUUAGGAAAAUAAAUUGAGAAAGCUGUAUUUUCAGGAAAAUAUGUUAAUAUGUUACAUGCAGAAAUUCAACAAAAAAUUGAUGAGGUUAAAAGGGAAGAAAAAACUGCUGUGCUUAUGCAGUCCAGCCUUUUAGGUCCCAAUUUUUUAGCUCAGAGUUUUCAGACAAAAUUAGAAACUGCCCAACCACAGGAAAACAACUUGGCAAAGAUUCAAAGUGUAGGCAAAAGCCUGCAGAGAGCAAACAGAGUCCUCAUGGGCCCAAGGAGCAUCCAGAAAAGGCACUUCAAAGGGGGGAAAGCAGAGCAUCAGGAGGGAACAGAGUGCCCAGGCAUUUGUGGAAAACACUGCCAAAGGAAAAAGGCCUGGGAGUGCAGCCCCAAGGGAGCUGAAACAGCCUCACGUGGUACAUAGGCCCGAGAAGUUGGUGGGAGAAGUUAGUCUACACCAAGCCUUCGUUCAUCCAAGAGCAUAAGACAGCGGUCUCCUCUUUGCUGAAACCCUUCUCCAUGGGCGGGCCCUCCGCCUCCACCCUUGCAAAAGCCCUACCUGAGGUCAGAAACAGACCGAAAGACUUAACCUACACCAUUUUGGUUUUAGAAAAUGCAAAGCCUAGAGUUAAAAAUAUGAAGGCUGCUAAACCAUUCAUACAUUCCAGAAAAAAAUACCACCGCUUUCAUAAAACUCGCUCCCGUGUGGUUCAUAGAACACCCAAGCCCAAAAAGAGUCGUAAGUUCAGAAAGGAAAGUUCUCUUAACAGACUAAUGCUCGCGAAGAGGGCUCCGUUCUCUGCAGUGAAGAACCUCAUAAAUUCUCCUUCAAAAGGGGCUUUUUCAUAUUUAGGAGACUUGAGUCCUUUUCCAGAAACAUUUGCUCCUUCAGAACAUUCUAUAGAAAACACUAAGGUUAAAAACACCACUGCAGGAAAUGCCUUUGAAGAAAACAUUCUUAUGGGAAAUUCACCAUCUCUGAAAACACAACCUACAAUAAUCCUCCUGAGGCAGAUUCUGCUGGGACUGCAUUCAACUUAGAGCCAACUGUUAAACAAACCAACGAAACACAAUUGGAAUACAACAACGUGGGCGCUGACCUGUCCCCCAAGUCCAAAAACUUCAAUUACCCAUUGCUCUCGUCCCCAGGUGAUCAGAUUGAAAUUCAGCUAAACCAGCAGCUACAGUCCCCUCAUCCUCAUUUGUCAUGUUAUCUGGAGCUUGAAAGUGGGCUGCUCUGAGACCCGUGUGCAAUUAGCCUGUGCUAAGCUCAUCUUCAGGACAGUCCUCCUGAUGAAGCUUCUCAGUGAACAGCAAGAAGAAAAGGUGUCCAAGGCAGAAUGGGAUACGGACCAGUGGAAAACUGAGAACUAUAUAAACAAGAGCACGGAAGCCCAGAGUGAACAGAAAGAGCAGAAGUCAAGUGAGCUCACUAAAGAAGUUCCAGGAUACGCCUAUAACAACAAACUCAUCUUGGCAAUAUCUGUGACUGUAAUAGUGAUGAUUUUAAUUAUAAUUUUCUGUCUCAUUGAGGUAAAGACAAUAAUUAAUUCAGAUUUUCAGAAUGUAAUCUCGUCUUUGUGUAGAUUCAGAGCCCACAAACUGAAAAUCAAAGCCCCUUUCCCACCUACUACUACUUGACAUUCUUCUUUAGUCGUUUAAGGCUGAGGUAUGCUUUGUUCUUUGACUGCAGUGUGUCUUCCAGAAUUUUUAAAGGGUCCUCACUUCCAGGAGAUCUCUGUGAACUGAAACCAAGUUAAUGCCACUAGGCUGUUUUAAGAAGUUAAGUUGAUAAAUUAGCAAAAUUUCUCUCGCCCAAAACCAUGUCAGCAAUUGAGUGUACUCACCAACUUGUCCUUUCUCUGCCACUAAUUUAUUUCCUUGAAAUGAUGAAUGAUUAUGUCUCAUCAUUUCAGCAUUUCAAGAAAACAAAUUAGCAUUUCAAGGAAAUGCUGAAAUGAUGAGAGACAUAUAAUCUCCACCCUCACGGAGCUGCCAUCACCUUGGAGAGGAAGGACAAGCCAAAAGGGAGAAGUCUCGUCUUGUAGACUUACUAGACUCACUUAGUGUCUUCCUUCUCCAGUGUGUAGGGCGUUGCCUAAAUAGGUCCAGUUAAAGGACUACAGGGUAGCCAUCUUUUUAAAAAGUAGUUGGCCACUUAUUUAAGUUCACAGGGGAGGGGGAAUGUCUCCCCUCCAGCCCUCCUGAGCUCAGGCCCUCUGUGAGAUGUGUCUCCAUUUCUCGGACACCAUAUGAGACAUUCCUCCUCGGAUUAGAGAUGCUCAAUCUGCAUUACAGAUCUAAAGCCUACAUCUGGCUACUCUGGGGCAAAUCCUGUUUAUAGCACCCAUUCC